Long non-coding RNA from Prunus dulcis (almond), 610 nucleotides. RefSeq lists it as uncharacterized. NCBI's taxonomy places the organism in Eukaryota, Viridiplantae, Streptophyta, Magnoliopsida, Rosales, Rosaceae. The transcript is spliced from 3 exons. The record is from RefSeq and is a predicted model, not a curated record.
AAAAUUAUAACGCGAUUAGGGUUUUCUUUCUUCCUUCAUCCUCCCAUUUCGUUUCCUCUCUCCUUCAGCCGCCGAAACCUCUGUCUGCGCCAAACCUCUCUCUCAGCCAUCCUCUCUCUCACCCAAACUUCUCUCUCAGCCUUCCUCUCUCUCAGCCAUCCUCUUUAUCCUUCAGCCGUCGCGCCGCCGAAGCUCUCUCUCAGCCAUCCUCCUCUCUCUCAGGCAAACCUCACUCUCAGCCAAACCUCUCUCUCAACCACACCUCUCUCAGCCGCUGCUCCUCUCAGUCGCCACUUUUCAUAGUCGUCGUCGUCAUACAGCUUCCUCUGUCCUCCAACAAUUUGCAGAUCCAGCACCAGCAGUUCGCAGAUCCAGCAAUCCACCUCUUCAUCUUAUCCUCUCUCUCUCUCUCUCUCUCUCUCUCUCUCUCUCUCUCAGGUUCACUUGGUGUUCGGAGAUGCAGCAACAAAAGAGCAAAAGAAUGGAGUUGUAAUUUUAAAUUUGAUUGUAAUUUAUUUUGUUUUAUUAUGUAUUUUUUUGUUGGGUUGUAAUUUUAAAUUGAAUAUUGGAUUGUUUUAUUAUUUUUGACAAAGAAUAGUGGUUGUUUCAA